Molecule: unclassified non-coding RNA, 731 nt
Filed under: Hevea brasiliensis (rubber tree)
Lineage: Eukaryota; Viridiplantae; Streptophyta; Magnoliopsida; Malpighiales; Euphorbiaceae
Source: RNAcentral
UACUUCAGGAAUUGAAGCAAUAAACCCUCCAACUUUACCUGGUAUAUAACAGAUUGUUAGGAAGAAGUUAAAGAACGACAGUAACAGGGUGAGAAAAGAAACAUUCUAAACAGUCUUCUCACUACGUUGUUAUGUUUUAUUUCUAUUAGUAAAAUUCCUUAUCCAACAAGCUGUGUCAUACGCGGAUUUAAAAACAGGAGCUCUAAUGAGAACUUAUGAGAUUAAUGAGAAUGAGGCGCAAGCAAACUGCUCCCACCCCAACUACCAUCCAAUCCCCCUCCCACCUUGCUAUCCGAAAAUAGCUAAAUCAAUAAAUCCAAACUCAUUAACAAGGCAGAUAUUGUUAGUGAUGUUAUUGAGAGUACUGUGGACCAAAAACAUUUAUCAAAUACAAAUAACCAAUUUCAAAUGCUGAGAAUGUUUUUUGCAGGACAUCUGUAGUACAAUGCAGAUGUAUUACAUUGUCUAUCUUUUUGCAAAUCAAAUAUCCUUUAGCAUUCAAAUUGUGAUGUAUGCUUUUGACAGACAAUGGAAAAAGAUAUCAGGUUUUUAUGCUCUGAUGAGGAAACUUAUAGAAUAAAAACAUGAUAUGAUAACACGUACCUACAAGGGACAAAAGAAUCAGAACGCAUGCACCUAAUUCAACUGCUCUGCGACUUCCCAUUUUAGUCACAGCAAUAGUGUGCACAUUCUCAGUUAGGGUUGUAGAGCCAGUUCCAGUACCCCAAAGA